UACGGAGGGUGCAAGCGUUAUCCGGAUUCACUGGGCUUAAAGGGUGUGUAGGCGGGUAUUUAAGUCAGUGGUGAAAUCUCCAGGCUCAACCUGGAAACUGCCAUUGAUACUAUUUAUCUUGAAUCCUGUUGAGGUGGGCGGAAUAUAUCAUGUAGCGGUGAAAUGCUUAGAUAUGAUAUAGAACACCGAUUGCGAAGGCAGCUCACUAAGCAGGUAUUGACGCUGAGGCACGAAAGCGUGGGGAUCAAACAGG
RNAcentral lists this ribosomal RNA (253 nucleotides) under uncultured bacterium. RNAcentral describes it as "partial 16S ribosomal RNA". It matches the Rfam family "Bacterial small subunit ribosomal RNA", at positions 524 to 776 of the family's 1533-position model. The record is from RNAcentral.